GGAAGAAGUUGGGGAAAUAAAAGUUUUCAAACUUCACCUUCCUGUUAACUACCAGACCAAGUUGGAGCUUGUUUUAUUAUAGAAAUUAAGCUGCCAGAACGGUAGGGCAAAGAUGUUUUUGUUGAAAAGCCCAAUACCCGUCAAAGAAGCCAAGCAAAUGCCCCUGGUAUCCAGAGUUAAAAAUGUUCAGAUAUGGGAAGAUGGCUCUGCUAGGAUUCUGACUCUUAAGAGUACUGACUUCUGGUGGCCGGCCUGGUGGCUCAGUCAGUUAGAGCUCCAUGCUUCUAACUCCGAAGGCUGCCAGUUUGAUUCCCACAUGGGCC
Long non-coding RNA from Rhinolophus ferrumequinum (greater horseshoe bat), 323 nucleotides. RefSeq lists it as uncharacterized. Lineage: Eukaryota; Metazoa; Chordata; Mammalia; Chiroptera; Rhinolophidae. The transcript has 3 exons. The record is from RefSeq and is a predicted model, not a curated record.